AGUGAACGCUGGCGGUAGGCCUAACACAUGCAAGUCGAACGGCAGCACAGUAAGAGCUUGCUCUUACGGGUGGCGAGUGGCGGACGGGUGAGGAAUACAUCGGAAUCUACUUUUUCGUGGGGGAUAACGUAGGGAAACUUACGCUAAUACCGCAUACGACCUACGGGUUAAAGCAGGGGAGCUUCGGACCUUUCGCGAUUGAAUGAGCCGAUGUCGGAUUAGCUAGUUGGCGUGGUAAAGGCCCACCAAGGCGACGAUCCGUAGCUGGUCUGAGAGGAUGAUCAGCCACACUGGAACUGAGACACGGUCCAGACUCCUACGGGAGGCAGCAGUGGGGAAUCUUGGACAAUGGGCGAAAGCCUGACCCAGCCAUACCGCGUGGGUGAAGAAGGUCUUCGGGUUGUAAAGCCCUUUUGUUGGGAAAGAAAAGCAGCAGGUUAAUCCCCCGCUGUUCUGACGGUACCCAAAGAAUAAGCACCGGCUAACUUCGUG
RNAcentral lists this ribosomal RNA (492 nucleotides) under uncultured bacterium. RNAcentral's name for it is "partial 16S ribosomal RNA". It matches the Rfam family "Bacterial small subunit ribosomal RNA", at positions 29 to 507 of the family's 1533-position model. The record is from RNAcentral.